AGCGAACGCUGGCGGCAGGCCUAACACAUGCAAGUCGAACGAACUCUUCGGAGUUAGUGGCGGACGGGUGAGUAACACGUGGGAACGUGCCUUUUGGUUCGGAAUAACUCAGGGAAACUUGUGCUAAUACCGAAUGUGCCCUUCGGGGGAAAGAUUUAUCGCCAUUAGAGCGGUCCGCGUCUGAUUAGCUAGUUGGUGAGGUAACGGCUCACCAAGGCGACGAUCAGUAGCUGGUCUGAGAGGAUGACCAGCCACACUGGGACUGAGACACGGCCCAGACUCCUACGGGAGGCAGCAGUGGGGAAUCUUGCGCAAUGGGCGAAAGCCUGACGCAGCCAUGCCGCGUGAAUGAUGAAGGUCUUAGGAUUGUAAAAUUCCUUCACCGGGGACGAUAAUGACGGUACCCGGAGAAGAAGCCCCGGCUAACUUCGUG
RNAcentral lists this ribosomal RNA (433 nucleotides) under uncultured bacterium. Its description in RNAcentral is "partial 16S ribosomal RNA". It matches the Rfam family "Bacterial small subunit ribosomal RNA", at positions 29 to 507 of the family's 1533-position model. The record is from RNAcentral.